CAGGAUGAACGCUGGCGGCGUGCCUAACACAUGCAAGUCGAGCGAUUUACUUCGGUAAAGAGCGGCGGACGGGUGAGUAACGCGUGGGUAACCUGCCUCAUACACAUGGAUAACAUACCGAAAGGUAUGCUAAUGCAGGAUAAUAUAAGAGAUUCACAUGGAUUUCUUAUCAAAGCUCCGGCGGUAUGAGAUGGACCCGCGUCUGAUUAGCUAGUUGGUAAGGUAAUGGCUUACCAAGGCGACGAUCAGUAGCCGACCUGAGAGGUGAUCGGCCACAUUGGAACUGAGACACGGUCCAAACUCCUACGGGAGGCAGCAGUGGGGAAUAUUGCACAAUGGGCGAAAGCCUGAUGCCAGCAACGCCGCGUGAGUGAUGAAGGCCUUCGGGUCGUAAAACUCUGUCCUCAAGGAAGAUAAUGACGGUACUUGAGGAGGAAGCCCCGGCUAACUACGUGCCAGCAGCCGC
RNAcentral lists this ribosomal RNA (466 nucleotides) under uncultured bacterium. RNAcentral's name for it is "bacterial SSU rRNA". It matches the Rfam family "Bacterial small subunit ribosomal RNA", at positions 25 to 518 of the family's 1533-position model. The record is from RNAcentral.